RNAcentral lists this ribosomal RNA (496 nucleotides) under uncultured bacterium. Its description in RNAcentral is "partial 16S ribosomal RNA". It matches the Rfam family "Bacterial small subunit ribosomal RNA", at positions 28 to 506 of the family's 1533-position model. The record is from RNAcentral.
GAUGAACGCUGGCGGCGUGCCUAAUACAUGCAAGUCGAGCGAACAGACGAGGAGCUUGCUCCUCUGACGUUAGCGGCGGACGGGUGAGUAACACGUGGAUAACUUACCUAUAAGACUGGGAUAACUUCGGGAAACCGGAGCUAAUACCGGAUAAUAUAUUGAACCGCAUGGUUCAAUAGUGAAAGACGGUUUUGCUGUCACUUAUAGAUGGAUCCGCGCCGCAUUAGCUAGUUGGUAAGGUAACGGCUUACCAAGGCAACGAUGCGUAGCCGACCUGAGAGGGUGAUCGGCCACACUGGAACUGAGACACGGCCCAGACUCCUAGGGGAGGCAGGAGUAGGGAAUUUUCCGAAAGGGGGGAAAGCCUGCGGGAGCAACGCCGGGUGAGUGAUGAAGGUCUUGGGAUCGUAAAACUCUGUUAUUGGGGAAGAAAAAAUGUGUAAGUAAUGAUGCACGUCUUGACGGUACCAAAUCAAAAAGCCCCGGCUAACUACGU